This 503-nucleotide ribosomal RNA is filed under the name uncultured bacterium. Its description in RNAcentral is "bacterial SSU rRNA". It matches the Rfam family "Bacterial small subunit ribosomal RNA", at positions 28 to 489 of the family's 1533-position model. The record is from RNAcentral.
GACGAACGCUGGCGGCGUGCCUAAUACAUGCAAGUCGAACGCACUCUCGUUUAGAUUGAAGGAGCUUGCUCCUGAUUGAUAAACAUUUGAGUGAGUGGCGGACGGGUGAGUAACACGUGGGUAACCUGCCCUAAAGUGGGGGAUAACAUUUGGAAACAGAUGCUAAUACCGCAUAAAACCUAACACCGCAUGGUGUAGGGUUGAAAGAUGGUUUCGGCUAUCACUUUAGGAUGGACCCGCGGUGCAUUAGUUAGUUGGUGAGGUAAAGGCUCACCAAGACCGUGAUGCAUAGCCGACCUGAGAGGGUAAUCGGCCACACUGGGACUGAGACACGGCCCAGACUCCUACGGGAGGCAGCAGUAGGGAAUCUUCCACAAUGGACGAAAGUCUGAUGGAGCAACGCCGCGUGAGUGAAGAAGGUUUUCGGAUCGUAAAACUCUGUUGUUGGUAGAAGAAUGUAUCUGAUAGUAACUGAUCAGGUAGUGACGGUAUCCAACCAGAAA